This 473-nucleotide ribosomal RNA is filed under the name uncultured bacterium. Its description in RNAcentral is "bacterial SSU rRNA". It matches the Rfam family "Bacterial small subunit ribosomal RNA", at positions 28 to 478 of the family's 1533-position model. The record is from RNAcentral.
GACGAACGCUGGCGGCGUGCCUAACACAUGCAAGUCGAACGGAGGCGGGAGUUAGGAUUGAGGGAACAAAAAAUUGCGCCCUGAAUCCUGAUUCCUUGCCUAAGUGGCGGACGGGUGAGUAACGCGUGAGUAACCUGCCUUUUUGAGGGGGAUAACAUCGGGAAACCGAUGCUAAUACCGCAUAAAAUAUGAAAUUCGCAUGAGUUUUAUAUCAAAGGAGCGAUCCGCAAAAAGAUGGACUCGCGUCCGAUUAGCCAGUUGGCGGGGUAAAGGCCCACCAAAGCAACGAUCGGUAGCCGGGUUGAGAGACUGAACGGCCACAUUGGGACUGAGACACGGCCCAGACUCCUACGGGAGGCAGCAGUGGGGGAUAUUGCACAAUGGGGGAAACCCUGAUGCAGCAACGCCGCGUGAGGGAAGAAGGUUUUCGGAUUGUAAACCUCUGUCCAAAGGGAAGAAAAAGAUGACGGUAC